RNAcentral lists this small RNA (725 nucleotides) under Histoplasma capsulatum var. duboisii H88. RNAcentral's name for it is "Histoplasma capsulatum H88 hypothetical RNA". The record is from RNAcentral. Lineage: Eukaryota; Fungi; Ascomycota; Eurotiomycetes; Onygenales; Ajellomycetaceae.
GGGUCAGGAGGUAGCGUCACUAUCAUGAGUUAAGAUAUAUUGAUCAGAUAUAUCUAGGACCAAUGAUAGCUAUGGUGGUGGUCUAAAGUCUUCAAUUUGCUUAGAAUAUUGUGGUUCCCACACUAUGCUGCAACUGGCGGUUGCAGUGGUGGUGGGAUGGGCGAUGGCCGCUGUAUAUAUCACUAUGAGCGCAACCAUUUGACAAAUGGUUACGGAGACCCGUAUCUGAGGAUAGAAACGCCAAACAGAAACACCCAUAUCCCUAUUCAAAUAGUGAUAUUCUUGGAACAACGAAUCCAGCCCACCUCUGGUAGCUAGAUAUCAGGAACGGAAAUGAUCGCGAGAACCUGAGGAUCCGCUCCACCUCCCCAACAAGCAACCGCGGACAACUCUUGCAACUGCUGCUGUUGAGAGCUCUGCUGUUGAAGUCACACCCGACCAAGAGUUACUAAACCGCGUCUACAAGAACAACAUUAAUCCAAUUGACUAUUGGAUUCAGCAAGGACAUUGGCCCAAAAAAUAUUUCAGGCAGGGCAACAUGAAUUCCCUGCUUGCAAGGAAGAAGUCGUCUUCCUUUCACCACAAGCAAUCAGAAUCUGGCUCUGUCUCCAUACCCAGUGAUCAAAAACCAAGGGACGAAAAGAGGGCUCCAUACAGGAGUCCGCGUGAUCAAACUCUACUUGAAUCUAAAGGCAGCUUUAUGAAAACAGCGCGCGUUGGAAUCA